RNAcentral lists this ribosomal RNA (402 nucleotides) under uncultured Pseudomonas sp. Its description in RNAcentral is "bacterial SSU rRNA". It matches the Rfam family "Bacterial small subunit ribosomal RNA", at positions 983 to 1382 of the family's 1533-position model. The record is from RNAcentral. Lineage: Bacteria; Pseudomonadati; Pseudomonadota; Gammaproteobacteria; Pseudomonadales; Pseudomonadaceae.
GACAUGCAGAGAACUUCCAGAGAUGGAUUGGUGCCUUCGGGAACUCUGACACAGGUGCUGCAUGGCUGUCGUCAGCUCGGUGUCGUGAGAUGUUGGGUUAAGUCCCGUAACGACGCGCAACCCUUGUCCUUAGUUACCAGCACGUUAUGGUGGGCACUCUAAGGAGACUGCCGGGUGACAAACCGGAGGAAGGUGGGGAUGACGUCAAGUCAUCAUGGCCCUUACGGCCUGGGCUACACACGUGCUACAAUGGUCGGUACAAAGGGUUGCCAAGCCGCGAGGUGGAGCUAAUCCCAUAAAACCGAUCGUAGUCCGGAUCGCAGUCUGCAACUCGACUGCGUGAAGUCGGAAUCGCUAGUAAUCGUGAAUCAGAAUGUCACGGUGAAUACGUUCCCGGGCCUU